CUGUGGCGACCUUGUAUUUCUUGAGAGGACAGGAGCAAAAUCCUGUGUUCAAUGAACCAGUAAGCUAGACUGGAAAAUUUCUGUGGGUAGGCAUAGUGCGCAUGUGCAUGAGUGGCCAAUGAACAAUACCCGCCCCCCUCUCUCGGAUUUAGCCACGCCCUUCAUUCGUUACUGUGGGGAUUUUCGGAACAGAGGUUGUGGCAGUUUCAGCAUCAAAUACCUGACCUCCUCUGUCACAGGACAUCCACUGUUUAAGCACCACCACUACCUCAGGAAGUCCACUGUCUGUGUGUCAACUCCACUGUUACAGGACUUCAAGUUUCUCAGCAUCUCAACUAUCACAGGAUUUCUACUGUGCAGGAGCUCAAGUGUCUUACAACGUCCAAUGUCAUAGGACCAUCAAUGUCACAAGAACUCCUCUGUCCAAGGAACUGCACAGUCCACACAACACUAUGAUUGCAGGACAUUCACUGUGGAAACACCUCCACUAUUGCAGGGCCUCCACUGUCCAUACAUCAACUCCACUGUCGCAGAUCCCCCAUUACUGCAGACCUCCACUGUCACAGGACCUCCACUGUAGGAGCACUACAACUGUCGCAGGAUCUCCAGUGUCUUAUAACCUGCUCUAUCCCAGGACUUCCACUGUUGUAGCAUUACCAUGGUCACAGCAACUACACUGUUUCAGGACAUCAAGUGAAGCUGGACCUCCAAUGAUGCUCCAACUUCUCUGUCACAGGAUCUCUACAGUUACAGGAAUACUCCUGUAUCAGCAAUUCCAAUUGCUGGACCUCAGUUGUCACAUGACCUCCACUGUAGCCGAACCUUCAAUUUUGCAGCACCUCCACUAGAGGUAGAAUGACCUCCCCUAUCACAGUGCCUCCACUUUCAAAGGACCUUCACUGUCACAGAACCUGCACAAUUUCAGUGCCUCCGCUGUUGCAGGACCUACGUUUUCACAGGAUCUGCACUGUUGCAACAACUCUAAUUGCACUUUUACAAAGGCAUUACUGGUUAUUAGAUUUGAGGCUGAAUGGAAUGUGAUGUUACUUUCGUAAACAUAAGAAUUUGUUCUGUGCGUCUUGUGAUUAAUGGCCACUUGUGCUAGGACCAGUAACUUAUGGAAAGAUUCCAUGAGGUCAUAGCACUCUCCACCUCACCUUGUGGAAACUGGUGUUUUUAGAGUGUGAUAAACUUCAGGUGAAGGGAUGCAGUCAGCAAGACCACGCUCUAGAGUGGGAUACACAGCAGUCAUAUUGAGUCCUUGCUGGGAAGAAAAGAAAUCCAGAAGAGGGAGGAGGCUUAGGUUAGAGGAAGAAUCAUAAAAUAUUUAGAGAAUAUAAAAAGGUAAGAAUUAUGGGGAACUGGAAAACAGAGCCAGAGGAAGAAUGAGCACAGAGCAAACUGGGAUGGACAAAGCACAAAUGUACCUGGGUUGUGCCUUCUGCAUGUUCUCUGGACGAUCGCCUUGUGCCUCAUUUCUGGGAGAACACUCUCUUCUCCCCAUAUAAAGUUUCUUUCUUGAAAGAAA
Molecule: long non-coding RNA, 1528 nt
Organism: Rattus norvegicus (Norway rat)
Lineage: Eukaryota; Metazoa; Chordata; Mammalia; Rodentia; Muridae
Source: RefSeq, a predicted model, not a curated record